This 618-nucleotide ribosomal RNA is filed under the name uncultured Bacteroidota bacterium. RNAcentral describes it as "bacterial SSU rRNA". It matches the Rfam family "Bacterial small subunit ribosomal RNA", at positions 288 to 906 of the family's 1533-position model. The record is from RNAcentral. Lineage: Bacteria; Pseudomonadati; Bacteroidota.
GGUUCUGAGAGGAAGGUCCCCCACAUUGGAACUGAGACACGGUCCAAACUCCUACGGGAGGCAGCAGUGAGGAAUAUUGGUCAAUGGACGAGAGUCUGAACCAGCCAAGUAGCGUGAAGGAUGAAGGUCCUACGGAUUGUAAACUUCUUUUAUAAGGGAAUAAACCCUCCCACGUGUGGGAGCUUGUAUGUACCUUAUGAAUAAGCAUCGGCUAACUCCGUGCCAGCAGCCGCGGUAAUACGGAGGAUGCGAGCGUUAUCCGGAUUUAUUGGGUUUAAAGGGAGCGCAGACGGGUCGUUAAGUCAGCUGUGAAAGUUUGGGGCUCAACCUUAAAAUUGCAGUUGAUACUGGCGUCCUUGAGUGCGGUUGAGGUGUGCGGAAUUCGUGGUGUAGCGGUGAAAUGCUUAGAUAUCACGAAGAACUCCGAUUGCGAAGGCAGCACACUAAUCCGUAACUGACGUUCAUGCUCGAAAGUGUGGGUAUCAAACAGGAUUAGAUACCCUGGUAGUCCACACGGUAAACGAUGGAUACUCGCUGUUGGCGAUAUACUGUCAGCGGCUUAGCGAAAGCGUUAAGUAUCCCACCUGGGGAGUACGCCGGCAACGGUGCAACUCAAAU